RNAcentral lists this ribosomal RNA (394 nucleotides) under uncultured bacterium. RNAcentral's name for it is "bacterial SSU rRNA". It matches the Rfam family "Bacterial small subunit ribosomal RNA", at positions 362 to 772 of the family's 1533-position model. The record is from RNAcentral.
UAUUGCACAAUGGGAGGAACCCUGAUGCAGCGACGCCGCGUGAGUGAAGAAGUAUUUCGGGAUGUAAAGCUCUAUCAGCAGGGAAGAAAAUGACGGUACCUGAAUAAGAAGCCCCGGCUAACUACGUGCCAGCAGCCGCGGUAAUACGUAGGGGGCAAGCGUUAUCCGGAUUUACUGGGUGUAAAGGGAGCGUAGACGGUUAUGCAAGUCUGGAGUGAAAGCCCGGGGCUCAACCCCGGGACUGCUUUGGAAACUGUAAAACUGGAGUGCAGGAGAGGCAGGCGGAAUUCCUAGUGUAGCGGUGAAAUGCGUAGAUAUUAGGAGGAACACCAGUGGCGAAGGCAGCUCACUGGACUGUUGACUGACACUGAGGCUCGAAAGUGUGGGUAUCAAA